This 2040-nucleotide long non-coding RNA is filed under the name Sus scrofa (pig). RNAcentral describes it as "lncRNA (ENSSSCG00050071591.1)". The record is from RNAcentral. Lineage: Eukaryota; Metazoa; Chordata; Mammalia; Artiodactyla; Suidae.
CCACUCUUGGGUAUAUACCCAGACACAACUCUACUUAAAAGAGACACAUGCACCCGCAUGUUCAUUGUAGCACUACUCACAAUAGCCAGGACAUGGAAACAACCCAAUUGUCCAUCCACAGAUGAUUGGAUUAGGAAGAUGUGGUGUAGAUAUACACAAUGGAAUACUACUCAGCCAUAAAAAAGAAUGAUAUAAUGCCAUUUGCAGCAACAUGGAUGGAACUAGAGAAUCUCAUACUGAGUGAAAUGAGCCAGAAAGACAAAGACAAAUACCAUGUAAUAUCACUUAUAACUGGAAUCUAAUAUCCAGCACAAAUGAACAUCUCCACAAAAAAGAAACUCAUGGGCUUGGAGAAUAGACUUGUGGCUGCCCAAUGGGAGAUGGAGGGAAUGGGAGGGAUCAGGAGCUUGGGGUUAUCAGAUACAACUUAGAAUAGAUUUACAAGGAGAUCCUGCUGAGUAGCAUUGAAAACAAUGUCUAGAUACUCAUAUUGCAACAGAACAAAGGGUGGGGAGAAAAAUGUAUAUAUGUAAGAAUAACUUGACCCCAUGCUGUACAGCGGGAAAAAAUUUUUAAAAAUAUAUUAAAAAGUCACCUAUAGUAAAUAAAGCAUGAGUCAUAGUUAGGUAAACAUCCUUUUGUUAGUGAAUCAAUACACACAGAUCAGCUAUAUACCUAUAAAAACAAUUUGAAAGAAUUUGAGGUACAGAAUAACAAAUAAAAAUUAGAAUUAAUGUCUAUUGAGCAGUUGCUGCUUGCCAAGCAUUGUAGUAACUACAGUUGACCCUUGAACUAUGUGGAAAAGUUUGUAUUCAAUUAGAGAGCUCAAUAUGUGGACUCUAGGUAACAUUGGAGCCCUGAUUCUAUCCAAGCCAUUUCAGCUUCCUGCCCUUGGAUCACUUAUCAGUUCCUUUCCUUUAAAAGAAAAAAGAACAGAGACUGUCCAGAGCCUUCCUUUGACAAGGAAGCAGACAUUCAAUAAUGACUCGCUCCAUCCCUGGACUAUCCAGUUUUCUAAGCAUCCCAGGUGGAGAAGCUAACCGCAGAGGACAAUGGAGCAGCUGUGGGAAGCCAAGAGGGGGAUUCAGGAGCCAAGGAUAAACAAUCACUCAAACUUUGUUCUUGGUCCUCUCUGACAGAAGGAAAAGCUGCCAGGCCAACAAUCAUGGUACAGAGGUCACAAUGCACCACAAAAGAACUCUGCCAAAGGCAAGGUGCCUGUAGGAAUAGUAAGGCAUUGUCCUCACCUCAUGGGACCCCACCUACUCUGGCCUCUCUUCCUAAAUGACACUUUUGAGAAGCCUCUGAAACCAAAAGGGCUCAAGCCCAAAAGACUCCAUUUUCAGAACCAAAUAUCAGAACUUGAAGUCCAGCAAAGGUUUAUUGUUGUUAUUUGAUUUAUAUAAAAUGUUGUGGAAGGUUAAGUAAUUUAGUUGCACUGUUUGUGGAUUUACUAAAUCACUUUAAUUGAACAGAAUGAAAUAACAAGAAGUAAAUCCAGAAUAUGCAACGUUUAAGAAAUCAAAAUGUUAAAAAUAUUUCAGGAUGUUCCUGUCAUGGCUCAGUAGAAAUGAAUCCAACUAGUAUCCAUGAGGAUGGGGGUGUGAUCCCUGGCCUCGCUCAGUGGGUUAAGGAUCUGGUGUCGCUGUGAACUGUAGUGUAGGUGGCAGACUUGGCUCGGAUCCCAAGUUGCCGUGGCUGUGGUGUAGGCCAGCAGCUGCAGCUCCAAAUCAACUUCCAUAUGCUGUGAGCACAGCCCUAAAAAGCAAAAAAAAAAAAAAAAAAAAAAAUCCUUCAUAUUUACCUCUGAAGUUCUAAUAGUAGAUUUCAGUGGGGACUAUUUCUACUCCCCACAACUACAAAGCAAUCAAACAGGGUCAUAUGCAGUUAAAAAAAAAAAAAAGUACAUAUAUAUGUCUUUUUCCAUGACUCUCUGUUAAAACACAGACUCUGUGGAGACAAAUAUAAUUUAUGCUUCUUUGAUAACUUCCUCUCAAGAUCUCUUAUAGUGCUUUAUACAAUAGAGGAUGUUAUUACCUG